Non-coding RNA from Pelobates cultripes (western spadefoot toad), 755 nucleotides. The record is from the annotation of a GenBank genome assembly. NCBI's taxonomy places the organism in Eukaryota, Metazoa, Chordata, Amphibia, Anura, Pelobatidae.
GCCUAAGCUGUGAAUUGCCUUGUUCUAUAUGUGUGGAUGUGCCCUCCUAGAAUGUGUGUUUCCCCUCUUUCAUCUCCCGAACCGGCCUGCGUACACUGUCUUCGAUCCCGGUGUCAGGGACCAUCCUACCUGAUCCCCAACUGAGCUAUAAUCACUCAUCCCUUCUUUCCUUAUCCUACAUACUCCCCAACGGGGCUAUAAUCACUCAUCCCUUCUUUCCUUAUCCUACCUACUCCCCAACGGGGCUAUAAUCACUAAUCCCUUCUUUCCUUAUCCUACAUACUCCCCAACAGGGCUAUAAUCACUCAUCCCUUCUUUCCUUAUCCUACCUACUCCCCAACGGAGCUAUAAUCCUUAUCCUACAUACUCCCCAACGGGGCUAUAAUCACUCAUCCCUUCUUUCCUUAUCCUACCUACUCCCCAACGGGGCUAUAAUCACUCAUCCCUUCUUUCCUUAUCCUACGGAUACUGACAAUGGGGCUAUAAUCACUCAUCCCUUCUUUCCUUAUCCUACAUACUCCCCAACGGGGCUAUAAUCACUCAUCCCUUCUUUCCUUAUCCUACUUACUCCCCAACGGGGCUAUAAUCACUCAUCCCUUCUUUCCUUAUCCUACCUACUCCCCAACGGAGCUAUCAUCCCUCAUCCCUUUCCCUUACCUGGGAGCACGAGGCUACGCUUGUGGCUGCCCAGGAGAGCGCUCUCUCCGGUGGAUACCUGCAUGGGGAUAUCCACCGGAGAGAGGGACACGCACCAG